RNA transcript from Temnothorax curvispinosus, 1783 nucleotides. It is a transcript of the gene named glycerol-3-phosphate dehydrogenase [NAD(+)], cytoplasmic-like, with no coding region annotated. Lineage: Eukaryota; Metazoa; Arthropoda; Insecta; Hymenoptera; Formicidae. The record is from RefSeq and is a predicted model, not a curated record. The transcript is spliced from 9 exons.
ACAUCGGCGUCCGGACGAAGCGGUGGUUCUCGCGUCUUCACGCUCGGUCUCCACCUCGUCUCCUCGCCCGCGUCGAAGCGUGUUCUCAAAAACACCAUGGCAUCCGUGUGCAUCAUCGGCUCCGGCAACUGGGGCUCGGCCAUCGCGAAGAUAGUCGGCGCGAAUGCGAAGAAUCAGAGCAGCUUCGCCGAUCGUGUUACUAUGUAUGUUUACGAGGAGAUUAUCGACGGCAAGAAGCUGACGGAGAUCAUCAAUCAGACGCACGAGAACGUCAAGUAUCUUCCGGGACAUAAGAUCCCUGAGAACGUGAUUGCGAUCCCAGACGUGGUGGAGGCUGCGAAGGACGCGGACAUACUUAUAUUCGUGGUCCCGCAUCAGUUCAUCCAAAGGAUAUGCAGCACCUUGCAGGGGAAGAUCAAGCCCACCGCCGUCGGGUUGUCGCUGAUCAAGGGCUUCGACAAGAAGGAGGGUGGCGGCAUCGAACUUAUCUCUCACAUUAUUUCGAAACAAUUGCAAAUCCCAAUCUCAGUGCUGAUGGGCGCUAACUUGGCUUCCGAGGUGGCUAACGAGAUGUUCUGCGAGACCACCAUUGGCUGCAAGGACAAAGUGAUGGCGCCGGUACUUCGCAACUUGAUCCAGACAUCGUAUUUCAGGGUAGUAGUCGUCGAGGAUGUGGAUUCUGUGGAGUGUUGCGGAGCGCUGAAAAACAUAGUUGCCUGCGGCGCUGGUUUCGUCGACGGGCUGGGUCUAGGUGACAAUACAAAGGCCGCGGUGAUCAGACUGGGCCUCAUGGAGAUGAUCAAGUUUGUCGACGUAUUCUUCCCGGGUGGAAAAUUGGCGACCUUCUUCGAGAGCUGCGGAGUGGCCGAUCUGAUCACAACGUGCUACGGUGGGCGCAAUAGGAAGGUCUCAGAGGCCUUCGUCAAGUCUGGCAAGUCGAUCGAGACACUGGAGAAGGAGAUGCUGAACGGACAGAAGCUGCAGGGCCCGGUCACCGCCGAAGAGGUCAAUUACACGCUGAAAUCUAAAAACAUGGAAAAUAGGUUUCCAUUAUUCACAGCAAUUCAUCGGAUUUGCAUUGGUGAGCUAAAACCGACGGACUUAAUCGACUGCAUACGCAGCCAUCCGGAACACAUGGACGAGGAAGCCUCGCCGUCGUCGAUGACGCUCAAGUCGCCCAAGUGCCGUCUUUGAGGAUGCCGAGCGUCGUUCCUCGAGGGAGGACUGGUCGCCAUUGAAACGCCAACGACUUAGAUCAGACGUUAUUGAACCCGGAAAGCUCAUUUUUACGUAAGAAACUUAAGAAACGUUCGAGUAGCAAACAAGUAAGAUGAGCGAGUUCGAAACAGGAGGCUCUUUCACGAGAUGAUCAAUGUAUUCAAACGAUGUUCGAUGCAACUGUGAUAGUUCAUGGACUUGCGUAUGUGUAAACUGUGAUAGUUUAUAGGUCAUGAAAUAAUUCAUCUCAUUGUGGUUACUAAUUACUCUUUCACGCAUGGCAAAACUUUUUGAAAGAUUUUAUCUUACUGCGUAUAUAUAUAAGAAUCAUUCCUUAGAGUUUCCUAUUAAUAAUUUCAGUAAAUAUCGAUAAGAUAAUCAGGCGUUUCUUUAUAAGGAAUCACACUCGUUUUUUUAUAUCAUAAGAGCUAUAAUGUUCCGUAUAAUGAAUAAUAGAAUGCGAUCAUCGUAAUUGUAAUCAAUAUUAGAUAUGUAAUCGAUAAUUAUUUCAACAGAGAAUUAAGCAAUUUGUAAACACUCGAACUGCUUAUGUUCUCUCUUUUCU